AUUGAACGCUGGCGGCAUGCCUAACACAUGCAAGUCGAACGGCAGCAUGCUCUGUAGCAAUACAGAGUGAUGGCGAGUGGCGGACGGGUGAGAAAUACGUAGGGAUCUGCCUUGAAGAGGGGGACAACCCGGGGAAACUCGGGCUAAUACCGCAUGAUACUCUAAGGAGGAAAGGGUUGGCGCAAGCCAGUCGCUUUAAGAGGAACCUACGUCCGAUUAGCUAGUUGGUAAGGUAAAGGCUUACCAAGGCAGAGAUCGGUAGCUGGUCUGAGAGGAUGACCAGCCACACUGGGACUGAGACACGGCCCAGACUCCUACGGGAGGAAGCAGUGGGGAAUAUUGGACAAUGGGGGCAACCCUGAUCCAGCGAUGCCGCGUGUGUGAAGAAGGCCUUCGGGUUGUAAAGCACUUUAGUUGGGGAAGAAGGCUUGCGGUUGAAUAGGCCGCAAGAUUGACGGUACCCAAAGAAUAAGCACCGGCUAACUCUGUGCCAGCCGCCGCGGUAA
This 506-nucleotide ribosomal RNA is filed under the name uncultured bacterium. RNAcentral's name for it is "partial 16S ribosomal RNA". It matches the Rfam family "Bacterial small subunit ribosomal RNA", at positions 29 to 523 of the family's 1533-position model. The record is from RNAcentral.